ACGUAGGUGGCAAGCGUUAUCCGGAAUUAUUGGGCGUAAAGCGCGCGUAGGCGGUUUUUUAAGUCUGAUGUGAAAGCCCACGGCUCAACCGUGGAGGGUCAUUGGAAACUGGAAAACUUGAGUGCAGAAGAGGAAAGUGGAAUUCCAUGUGUAGCGGUGAAAUGCGCAGAGAUAUGGAGGAACACCAGUGGCGAAGGCGACUUUCUGGUCUGUAACUGACGCUGAUGUGCGGAAGCGUGGGGAUCAA
This 247-nucleotide ribosomal RNA is filed under the name uncultured bacterium. Its description in RNAcentral is "partial 16S ribosomal RNA". It matches the Rfam family "Bacterial small subunit ribosomal RNA", at positions 525 to 771 of the family's 1533-position model. The record is from RNAcentral.